AUUGAACCCAGUGCCUCACACAUGCGAGGCAAGUGCCCAAACAUUGAGCUUACAUUCCUAGCCCUUGAAGUAAUCUUUUGCUCUUAUCUCUUUGUUGGAGUGAUCAAUUGUUUCUGUAUUUGUUCUCUUAUAUCAUACUUUGCUUUGCAGAUCAUUUUAAUUAUGUACGUUUUGAACUCCUUCUCUGACAUGUCACCUACAGUGCUGUCAAUAUAGUCCAUUAUUGUAGCAUCUUGGUUUGUUUGGGGCACUUUCUUUCCUUAUUUUUUCUUGGUGUCCAUGUGCCAUCCUCUCCAGCAGUGCGAAUCAAAGGUAUUAUACAUUCUAUCCUAUAAUCUUGUGGUGUACCUGCAGGUUACCAAUACCUUUCCUUUAAGGGGGAGAUAAAUAUUUACGCCACCCAAUUCAAACAAUAUGCAGCUUUAAACCAAAUAACUCCUAUUUGGACAAUUAUAGUUUUGUUGUAAUAAACAGAAAUGUAUUUGAUUAAUAUUUACAAUAUAAAUCAUAGGUUUGCAUAAGAGUCUACAGAUUUUUUAAUAUUUAUUGUUUAGUUUUCGGUGGACACAACAUCUUUAUUUUAUUUGUAUGUGGUGCUGAGGAUCGAACCCAGCACCACGUACAUGCCAGGUGAGCGCGCUACCACUUGAGCCACAUUCCCAGCCCUUAAUCUAUAGUUUUUAAUGGUGGACAAAGAGAGCAGGGGGUGUAGGAUGUGAGGUUUAUGAGGUAGGAGUGAGAUUACAGAGGUAUUAGAUCAUACGAAGAGUAAAAGAGGAAUCAUGAGAAGUAGGCUAACAGGGAUACCUUUCUUGCAAUCAAGCCUGCAGCAUCCUUGGUGAUAGUGUACCAGGUCCUCGCAGUUGUCUCCAGAUAAAAACAGCCAUGUUCCUAGUUGGUGGCAGUAGAAGCAUCUAAUCUGUUGAUAUGUUGGUGUUAGGCUUCCAGGCCCUACCUGGUGUCCUAAGUUGGAAGCUGCCCCAAGUAAAGAUGGUGGUUGUGUUGGUGGAGGUGUCCCAAGAUGGAGGUGACCACUUUCAGAGAUGGGGCUGAGAGGGCAAGCCAUGCUGUGGAAUUGGGAAACCUGUUCAGAGAUGCAAAGCCGUGGUGUACAGUGCUGCAGUGGGCUGCUACCUCCAGGCCCAAGGUGGAGGACAAUAUGUGUGGAGGGGCUUUUGAGAGGCCUGCAGUGUCCCAAGAUGGAAGUGGGUUAGGGGAGCCAUUCAUUGGGAGAUGGGAUACUGCAGCAAGUUGCUCUCCUCUGUGUGGGUGCAGUUGUUCGUAAGAUUUCCAUCUUGAAGCCACUAUCAUGUUUGCUUUCCUAACCAAAUGAAAAUUUAAUGGUUACUUUAGCAAAUCUUGGGGGCCAUAAGGAAGUGUGGACUAUGUUUGCCUGAGAUAGGAAUUUGGAAUACAAAGAAGAUAUGCUGAGUCUCAAAGUAGAAGGCUCAUAAAUCACUACAGUAUAGGAAAUGCCAAAAAAAAAAAAAAAAAUGACAUUAAAAACAAGCAACUCCUAAACAAUCCAGAAUUCUUGGUAGGCCAGAAUUCUGGCUCACAAAAUACUAACCUGAUAACCAGUCUAUAAGAAACCCAUGGAAAAACUAGUGUAAAAUCAUGUAUUUCUGCUCCAACUGUACCUUUGAUCCAGCCCCACCCCACCAUGUCCCACUAUGAAUAACACACCAAAACAGUGGUUUGCUCUAUCUCCCUUGAAGAUGUUUCACAUUUUCCUUAAAUGUGUACCCGCUCUCCUAAAUAGAUAUGACCAUAUCUCUGAUUGACAAAUGCUGGAAGUCUGUUCUGCCAUGCACACUAAAGUUCCCACUUUUUCCUAGUUGAUCUCCCUCUCUCCCUCUCUCUCCCUCCCUCCCUCUCUCCCUCUCUCCCUCUCUCUCCCUCCCUCCCUCCUUCCCCCUUUUCUUUCUUUCUCCCUCCCUUUCAGGCAUCUCCAUUAUAUUACCUCAUAUAGCAAGAUUUAGAUUUUUAACACUAGAAUUGUGGGGGUUUUUAAUAGUUUGGGGUCUGACAUCACAUAUAUCAACAGGGGGAGAAAACCAGCAGCUAUGGGAAUUAAAAAAAAAAAAAAAACCUGGCAAGGGACCAGAUUUGAUGGCACAUGCCUGUAAGUUCAAGUAUUUGGAAGGCUAAUUAUGACUAAUUUCAAGUUUGAGGACAGUCUUGACAUCUUAGCAAAACACUGCCUCGAAAUUGAAAAAUAAAAAUGGCUGGAUAGAGAAAUGAAUAAAUAAAUAAAUGAUAAGGUUGAGCCUCAUCUUGGAGAAAGACCUGAAUCUCUAAACUACAAGAAUAACCCAUGGGAAAUAAUUAAAGAUUUUCAGAAGGAGAAUGAUAUUUUGGACAUAAUUACAAAAUCACUCACACAAUUAAAAAAAAAAAAUUACAUAAACCAAAAAGCUGAUGCACAACAAAAGAAAAAGCCCAGAGGGGAGAGAAAGAGUAUAAAAGAGUAUAAAACUGGAGCAAAUCUAGUCAUUCUAUGCAAGACUUAUACACAAGUUAUGUCAAGAACUUAAAAAUCUUUACACCAUAAACAAUACAAUUCAAAAGGGGGCAAAGCAUCUAAGUAGACAGGUCUCAAAAGAAGAAAUGCAAAGUUUCAGUAAAUAUACAGAAAAAAUGCUCUAUAUAAUUAGCCUUCAGGGAAAUGCCAAUCAAAAAUAUAAUUAGUUAUCAUCUCAUCCCCAUUAGAAUGAAUAAUUUGAAAAAGUAGCAGUGUGAUAUGGAGAAAAAUGAACUCUCAUGCACCUUUGUGUGCAUAUAAAUUAGUGCAGCCAGUGACUCAGAUUAUUGCUCUGGAGUCGAAUGAUCCCUAGCAUUGUGGUAAAAGCACAGAUCAAUCUGAGGGCACCUUCACUUAAGUAUAUUUGCCUAGCUGAGUUAAAUGAAAACAUCCUGGGUCUGACAGACAUAACUGGUACUCUUUGAGGGUGGAGAGUGAGGCACAUUCUUGUCCUCUGAGUCACCUAGAGGGUGAUAUGUACACACUCAACCACCCUCAGUCCCUGUGGAGUCCCAGUCAUCUGAGGUGCCAUCGUAGACUUGGCUCAAUAUUCUGUUGAGUCCUUCUUGGGAUCAGUGCCUUGAAUGUGUAAAUGGCCAACUUGGUCCCCCUCCUGCUCUGCGGAGGGUCACAGACCCUCUUUCAUCACCUUCUCUUUCCCUGCCAAGUGGUAUUGACCAAUUGUCCCCAGAGACCCUGGUUAUCUUAUUGCUGGGGUCACAAGAAUGUGGAGGGACAGGUGGGCACAAAUCUAUUCUGAGAGUUCAGCAUGGACAGUAGGCCAAUCUCCAUUUGGUCCACAAGGGGGAAAGGGGGAAUGGGGAUAGUAGAGCUUGCGUAGACUAGAGCAGAGGCCUAGGGGAGCUCUGCUAUUCUUUCCCCCACUGAAGUACAUUAUGAUUCCUUAAGUUAUAUAGCCAUUGUGAAUAGAACUACUGUAUGUAAUUGCAUGCUAUUAUCAAGAUAUGUGUUUUCAAGGCAGUUGUUUUUAUUUUUAGGAUCAUGUGGUGACACUAUGUGUAACACUGGGAGGGAAAAACAAGGCCAGCUUUUUUAUAGUGAAUUGUAUGCACUCCUCCAGCAAUGCAUGAGAGUGCCUGUGGCUGCUCAUCCUCCUCAUGGUGGAUAUUGCUCUUAAGAAAAGACCAUAGCAGCUUAGUAGGUGUGCAGUGCAUCUCUCACGGUUUUAGUUUGUGC
RNAcentral lists this long non-coding RNA (3721 nucleotides) under Marmota monax (woodchuck). Lineage: Eukaryota; Metazoa; Chordata; Mammalia; Rodentia; Sciuridae. The record is from RNAcentral.